RNAcentral lists this ribosomal RNA (393 nucleotides) under uncultured bacterium. RNAcentral describes it as "bacterial SSU rRNA". It matches the Rfam family "Bacterial small subunit ribosomal RNA", at positions 28 to 423 of the family's 1533-position model. The record is from RNAcentral.
GACGAACGCUGGCGGCGUGCUUAACACAUGCAAGUCGAGCGGUAAGGCCCUUUCGGGGGUACACGAGCGGCGAACGGGUGAGUAACACGUGGGUGACCUGCCCUCAGCUCUGGGAUAAGCCUGGGAAACUGGGUCUAAUACUGGAUAUGACUCCACGGUGCAUGUCGUGGGGUGGAAAGCCUUGUGCGGCUGAGGAUGGGCCCGCGGCCUAUCAGCUUGUUGGUGGGGUGANGGGCCUACCAAGGCGACGACGGGUAGCCGGCCUGAGAGGGCGACCGGCCACACUGGGACUGAGACACGGCCCAGACUCCUACGGGAGGCAGCAGUGGGGAAUCUUGCGCAAUGGGCGAAAGCCUGACGCAGCGACGCCGCGUGAGGGAUGACGGCCUCGGU